Molecule: long non-coding RNA, 896 nt
Organism: Musa acuminata AAA Group (dessert banana)
Lineage: Eukaryota; Viridiplantae; Streptophyta; Magnoliopsida; Zingiberales; Musaceae
Exons: 2
Source: RefSeq, a predicted model, not a curated record
CUUUUCAUAUAAAUAUUUGAUUUUCAUUGCACCAUUUUAACUUACAUUUAGCCUGGACAUAACAGUUUGUUUUGUGUAGACAUAGUAGACAGAGCCCAAACCUCUUGGAGAUUAGGACUAGUCUCUCGUCUGAUCAGAGAAGAUAUAUAAAAGAUGGAUUAUUAUCUCGAAAAGGUCUAUAUUCUUGAUACGAAUGGAACUUGGAGUUUGUAGGGAGCUACUGAGCAAUCAUAUUGGGUGUUAUUCUUGAUCCAUUCAAAAGACUGCAAUAUGAGUCCGGAAGACCAACAAAGAAAGGGAAGGUUCUUACUGGUCAGAAACCACCAACUUAUAUGGUUGAAAUAUACCUAGUUUGAUUUCAUAUCAUGGUUUCAAUGGACAUCAACUCUAGAAGUAGGCAAAGGACCUUGACUACCAUGAAAUAAAGGGGGCAUUUGUUUUCAGCCAAAUGAAAACUAUUUCUCAGCAUCCGGAAGUUUGGACUUUUGCACUACCAAUAUAAUCCAGUUUGGGAUAGACCAGAUAUAACAUGACAGAUGUUACUUGCAGAAAUGAGGAAUUCCAUAGUCCCUCACUCAACCUUCCUGAUGGUUGUCAGCAAAUACGUGAAUGGUUUAAAAUGACCAGCCAUCCUAAGCCAUUAUAAUAGCUGGACGCUUCUUGAAUUUUAUCAUAAUGAUGGGACUAGGCUGAUGGUGGUUUGGUUUUCAUCAUAAAUGACUUUCAAUUUUGAUUUUUUUUUUCUUUUUGAAAGCUAUGGACAUGCAAUCCGAUUGUAGAAUUAGUUUGCAUCAUCAAACUUCUGGAUUUUUUUUGGUGGUUCCAAGUUCAUUAUCUACUUUUGACUGUGCUUGCACUAAGAAUAUGAACAUUUAAAUACCCCUACUCUGACCAAA